UUUAGCUCGAAGGCGCACAUGUGACGCACACUAUGACGGCAUGUGCGACGCAUCACUAUUCGGACGCACCCUAUGCCUUCCACGAGCCUCAAGUGUUACGUUGGCCUUUCGCUUGAGUGUGCGUGGACUGUCUCGUACCACAUUGCUGUGGUCUGCAGCAGGGUCAUGUGGUACUGUAGCUGGUUGUGAUGACGUCCCUGGCUGUGCAACCUCGUUGACUUCCUCCGGCUCCGCACUGCAUCUAAUUGGGGGGACCCUCCUUGGUAGUACUUUCUGUGUGAAAAUGUGCUCUGGGAAGUCGAACUUGGUGGGCACAGCGUCAGGCCUCAAACGAACGAUCUGCCCUGUUCUGUCGAAGCAGCUGUCUUCAAAAUGUGUGCUGCAGACCACUGAUGUCUUGGACGGCGUCCAGUCCUUUCGCCUGACGUUCACCACCCAGUUUUUUAAAUGGUCCGGGCAGCUGUGAGGGAACCUGCAUUAAACCAUUUAUGCCAUGAAUUGCGGCAGGGAUGACAAGGCCGAUCCAGGCAAGCAAUUGGCGAUACCGUGAUCGCCAAACUCAAUGGUAGAUCCCACACCUGACAAGUGCGCUUCAACACCUGCUGCGUGCUGAGACCAUACAGAGAACUGCAUGAAGUCUGUACUAUCACAAUGACUCUAUCCAGAUAAAGUACUCAAAGUUUAACGUUUAGAUCUUGAGGUACGAGUCACAAAGUGCCGCGCACAUGCUUAACGGCUACGUUUUGUCACCCGCUCGUGGACUAAUAAAUCACAUGUAUUUAUAGA
Long non-coding RNA from Ornithodoros turicata, 786 nucleotides. RefSeq lists it as uncharacterized. NCBI's taxonomy places the organism in Eukaryota, Metazoa, Arthropoda, Arachnida, Ixodida, Argasidae. The transcript is spliced from 3 exons. The record is from RefSeq and is a predicted model, not a curated record.